Molecule: ribosomal RNA, 329 nt
Filed under: uncultured eukaryote
Lineage: Eukaryota
Description: partial 18S ribosomal RNA
Rfam family: Eukaryotic small subunit ribosomal RNA
Source: RNAcentral
CCCUUAGAUGUUCUGGGCCGCACGCGCGCUACACUGACAGAGCCAACGAGUUCUUUGCCUUGGCCGGAAGGUCUGGGUAAUCUUGUUAAACUCUGUCGUGCUGGGGAUAGAGCAUUGCAAUUAUUGCUCUUCAACGAGGAAUGCCUAGUAAGCGCGUGUCAUCAGCAUGCGUUGAUUACGUCCCCGCCCUUUGUACACACCGCCCGUCGCUACUACCGAUUGAAUGGCUCAGUGAGGCCUUCGGACUGGCUCGGGGAGGUUGGCAACGACCACCCCAAGCCGGAAAGUUCGUCAAACUCGGUCAUUUAGAGGAAGUAAAAGUCGUAACA